RNAcentral lists this ribosomal RNA (483 nucleotides) under uncultured bacterium. RNAcentral describes it as "bacterial SSU rRNA". It matches the Rfam family "Bacterial small subunit ribosomal RNA", at positions 28 to 507 of the family's 1533-position model. The record is from RNAcentral.
GAUGAACGCUGGCGGCGUGCUUAACACAUGCAAGUCGAACGGAGUUGUUUCGCUGACGAGGCUUCGGCCAAAUCUUGAAGCAACUUAGUGGCGGACGGGUGAGUAACGCGUGGAUAACCUGCCGUAUACAGGGGGAUAACACUUAGAAAUAGGUGCUAAUACCGCAUAAGCGCACAGUUUCGCAUGAGACAGUGUGAAAAACUCCGGUGGUAUACGAUGGAUCCGCGUCUGAUUAGAUAGUUGGUGGGGUAACGGCCUACCAAGUCGACGAUCAGUAGCCGACCUGAGAGGGUGAUCGGCCACAUUGGGACUGAGACACGGCCCAAACUCCUACGGGAGGCAGCAGUGGGGAAUAUUGGGCAAUGGGGGGAACCCUGACCCAGCAACGCCGCGUGGAGGAAGAAGGUUUUCGGAUCGUAAACUCCUGUCCUCAGGGAAGAGCAGAAGACGGUACCUGAGGAGGAAGCCCCGGCUAACUACGUG